AUGUAUACCACUGCAUUCAAUACAAAGAACUACCGGUAUAUUGAUCGAGCACCAAGUAACAUCUUUAACCGAACCGCAAUCUGCACACACACUGUUAGAGACAUCGGUCUUUCGGAGCAUUUGAAUGAAAAUGUUUGCACUGGCAUGGUAUCUCUCUAACUGUUCCAUAUGCAUAGUACCCGAAUUGUCUGAUCGAAAAAAUUGUUGAAGGUUCCACGAGCCUUUUCUACUGAAAGCCUUCUUAAUACCCGAACCGCUUAAUUUUCGGCUGAUAGGCGUGGUCUCAAAACUCGUAGAAAAUAGUGGAAAUACCUUAGAGGGUCGUCUCACACUUGCACUCAACGGCGUUGCAACCCUAGAAAGUUGGAAAGACGAAAUCUUUGCUGCUUCGCAUAUAGCUUCAAUCCACGAGUCCAUCUCUUCAGCAGACGUGGCUUGAUAAAGUCGCUUCAAUUUCGGAGUUACAACUUCGAAACAAAACCUCCUUCCCUGUUUGCGAACUUUAUCAGCAGAUGCAUGUUUUAACGAAAUGGAUGAAACAUUAGAUUUUACGGAAUCUUUCCAGUUUGCAUACUCCCAUAAAGAACCGUUCUCAACAACAAUCCAGUGCUUGUGCCAAGCGGCUUUACUAACCAUAGCUAGAUCUGUACCAAGUUCGGUAGCACCAAAUACUAAGAGUAGACCCUCUUUAAAAAUCUUGUCAGGGCUUGCACUACCCCCAUUAGAAAUGCACUUUCCCUUUAUCUCCGUUGUAAAAUUGCUUGUCUGGCUAAUAUCAUCUGCAGAGGCUGCCAUGCGACGAUUUGGCAUAGGACUCUGUAUUUCAUGUAAAGGGAAAGAAGGGGAAAUCGGAGAUGGUGAAGGCGGUGCCAUGGACUUUGGACGACCGCUAGUUUGAAUUACCUGGGAACGAUGCAUCUCUCUGCCCUUGUCACGUCUGGUUGUACUCCAUUUUGUUUUUUCAAGUUUUAAAUUGAGUUGCUGAAGAUUCGGAAGAACACUAUUCAUCAAAUUACUAAAAAGUGCAAUAUGGUCAUAUUGGCGAUGAAAGUACUGCAAAAAAAUACCGUUAAUAUCAUUAAUAAUGGAACCAUCGUGAAGGUCUUGCAUAAAACAAUAGUAAUCAUAUCGUUGUAAGGCAAACGUUUUCUCUUUUUGAAAAAAUUUAGAG
Schizosaccharomyces pombe (fission yeast) is the source of this 1171-nucleotide non-coding RNA. The record is from the annotation of a GenBank genome assembly. NCBI's taxonomy places the organism in Eukaryota, Fungi, Ascomycota, Schizosaccharomycetes, Schizosaccharomycetales, Schizosaccharomycetaceae.